RNAcentral lists this ribosomal RNA (255 nucleotides) under uncultured bacterium. RNAcentral describes it as "partial 16S ribosomal RNA". It matches the Rfam family "Bacterial small subunit ribosomal RNA", at positions 526 to 779 of the family's 1533-position model. The record is from RNAcentral.
CGGAAGGUCCAGGCGUUAUCCGGAUUUUAUUGGGUUUAAAGGGAGCGUAGGCCGCCUGGUAAGCGUGUUGUGAAAAAUACCGGCUCAACCGGUAUCCUGCAGCGCGAACUGUCGGGCUUGAGUGUGCGCAACGUUGGCGGAAUUCGUCGUGUAGCGGUGAAAUGCUUAGAUAUGACGAAGAACUCCGAUUGCGAAGGCAGCUGACGGGAGCACAACUGACGCUGAAGCUCGAAAGUGCGGGUAUCGAACAGGAUU